GAGUAACGCGUGAGGAACCUGCCUCAAAGAGGGGGACAACAGUUGGAAACGACUGCUAAUACCGCAUAAGCCCACAGGUCGGCAUCGACCAGAGGGAAAAGGAGCAAUCCGCUUUGAGAUGGCCUCGCGUCCGAUUAGCUAGUUGGUGAGGUAAUGGCCCACCAAGGCAACGAUCGGUAGCCGGACUGAGAGGUUGAACGGCCACAUUGGGACUGAGACACGGCCCAGACUCCUACGGGAGGCAGCAGUGGGGAAUAUUGCACAAUGGGGGAAACCCUGAUGCAGCGACGCCGCGUGGAGGAAGAAGGUCUUCGGAUUGUAAACUCCUGUUGUUGAGGAAGAUAAUGACGGUACUCAACAAGGAAGUGACGGCUAACUACGUGCCAGCAGCCGCGGUAAAACGUAGGUCACAAGUGUUGUCCGGAAUUACUGGGUGUAAAGGGAGCGCAGGCGGGAAGACAAGUUGGAAGUGAAAUCUAUGGGCUCAACCCAUAAACUGCUUUCAAAACUGUUUUUCUUGAGUAGUGCAGAGGUAGGCGGAAUUCCCGGUGUAGCGGUGGAAUGCGUAGAUAUCGGGAGGAACACCAGUGGCGAAGGCGGCCUACUGGGCACCAACUGACGCUGAGGCUCGAAAGUGUGGGUAGCAAACAGGAUUAGAUACCCUGGUAGUCCACACCGUAAACGAUGAUUACUAGGUGUUGGAGGAUUGACCCCUUCAGUGCCGCAG
RNAcentral lists this ribosomal RNA (727 nucleotides) under uncultured bacterium. RNAcentral describes it as "bacterial SSU rRNA". It matches the Rfam family "Bacterial small subunit ribosomal RNA", at positions 108 to 851 of the family's 1533-position model. The record is from RNAcentral.